UACAGAGGUCUCGAGCGUUGUUCGGAAUCAUUGGGCGUAAAGCGGGUGUAGGCGGCUCUAUAAGUCAGAAGUGAAAGCCCCGAGCUUAACUUGGGAAGUGCUUUUGAUACUGCAGAGCUUGAAUGUGGGAGAGGGUAGUGGAAUUCCAGGUGUAGUGGUGAAAUACGUAGAUAUCUGGAGGAACACCGGUGGCGAAGGCGGCUACCUGGCCCAACAUUGACGCUGAGACCCGAAAGCAUGGGGAUCAAACAGG
RNAcentral lists this ribosomal RNA (253 nucleotides) under uncultured prokaryote. RNAcentral describes it as "partial 16S ribosomal RNA". It matches the Rfam family "Bacterial small subunit ribosomal RNA", at positions 524 to 776 of the family's 1533-position model. The record is from RNAcentral.